GCUCAGAUUGAACGCUGGCGGCAGGCCUAACACAUGCAAGUCGAACGGUAACAGGAAACAGCUUGCUGUUUCGCUGACGAGUGGCGGACGGGUGAGUAAUGUCUGGGAAACUGCCUGAUGGAGGGGGAUAACUACUGGAAACGGUAGCUAAUACCGCAUAACGUCGCAAGACCAAAGAGGGGGACCUUCGGGCCUCUUGCCAUCGGAUGUGCCCAGAUGGGAUUAGCUAGUAGGUGGGGUAACGGCUCACCUAGGCGACGAUCCCUAGCUGGUCUGAGAGGAUGACCAGCCACACUGGAACUGAGACACGGUCCAGACUCCUACGGGAGGCAGCAGUGGGGAAUAUUGCACAAUGGGCGCAAGCCUGAUGCAGCCAUGCCGCGUGUAUGAAGAAGGCCUUCGGGUUGUAAAGUACUUUCAGCGGGGAGGAA
RNAcentral lists this ribosomal RNA (431 nucleotides) under Escherichia coli. Its description in RNAcentral is "partial 16S ribosomal RNA". It matches the Rfam family "Bacterial small subunit ribosomal RNA", at positions 22 to 449 of the family's 1533-position model. RNAcentral also lists the same sequence under 1 other name. The record is from RNAcentral. Lineage: Bacteria; Pseudomonadati; Pseudomonadota; Gammaproteobacteria; Enterobacterales; Enterobacteriaceae.